AGAGUUUGAUUCUGGCUCAGAACGAACGCUGGCGGCGUGCCUAACACAUGCAAGUCGAGCGAGAAAGUCCCCGCAAGGGGAUGAGUAAAGCGGCGAACGGGUGAGUAACACGUGGGCAACCUGCCCUUCAGUCGGGAAUAACCCAUCGAAAGGUGGGCUAAUACCGGAUAAUGUCCUUUGGGGGCAUCUUCGGAGGACCAAAGGGGGCGAGCGAAAGCGGCUCCCGCUGAGGGAUGGGCCUGCGGCUGAUUAGCUAGUUGGUGGGGUAGCGGCCUACCAAGGCAACGAUCAGUAGCCGACCUGAGAGGGUGACCGGCCACACUGGGACUGAGACACGGCCCAGACUCCUACGGGAGGCAGCAGUGGGGAAUAUUGCGCAAUGGGCGAAAGCCUGACGCAGCGACGCCGCGUGGGUGAUGAAGGCCUUCGGGUCGUAAAACCCUGUCGGGUGGAACGAAUCUCCUUUUCUCCAAUACAGGAGAGGAUUGACGGUACCACCGAAGGAAGCCCCGGCUAACUACGUGCCAGCAGCCGCGGUAAUACGUAGGGGGCGAGCGUUGUUCGGAUUUACUGGGCGUAAAGAGCGCGUAGGUGGUUCGAUGAGUCGGAUGUGAAAUCCCUCGGCUCAACCGAGGACCCGCGUCCGAUACUGUCGAACUUGAGUGCAGGAGAGGAGAGCGGAAUUCCCAGUGUAGCGGUGAAAUGCGUAGAUAUUGGGAGGAACACCGGUGGCGAAGGCGGCUCUCUGGACUGUCACUGACACUGAGGCGCGAAAGCUAGGGGAGCAAACGGGAUUAGAUACCCCGGUAGUCCUAGCCGUAAACGAUGGGCACUAGGUGUGGGAGGUAUCGACCCCUUCCGUGCCGCAGCUAACGCAUUAAGUGCCCCGCCUGGGGAGUACGGCCGCAAGGUUGAAACUCAAAGGAAUUGACGGGGGCCCGCACAAGCGGUGGAGCAUGUGGUUUAAUUCGACGCAACGCGAAGAACCUUACCAGGGCUUGACAUCCCGCGAAUCCUGCUGAAAGGCAGGAGUGCCCGCAAGGGAACGUGGAGA
This 1054-nucleotide ribosomal RNA is filed under the name NC10 bacterium enrichment culture clone Ino-Rb10. RNAcentral describes it as "bacterial SSU rRNA". It matches the Rfam family "Bacterial small subunit ribosomal RNA", at positions 8 to 1034 of the family's 1533-position model. Lineage: Bacteria; Methylomirabilota (SeqCode). The record is from RNAcentral.